RNAcentral lists this ribosomal RNA (890 nucleotides) under uncultured bacterium. RNAcentral describes it as "bacterial SSU rRNA". It matches the Rfam family "Bacterial small subunit ribosomal RNA", at positions 8 to 916 of the family's 1533-position model. The record is from RNAcentral.
AGAGUUUGAUCCUGGCUCAGGACGAACGCUGGCGGCGUGCCUAACACAUGCAAGUCGAGCGAUGAAAUCCCUUCGGGGAUGGAUUAGCGGCGGACGGGUGAGUAACACGUGGGUAACCUGCCUCAAAGAGGGGGAUAGCCUCCCGAAAGGGAGAUUAAUACCGCAUAACAUUAGUUUUUCGCAUGGAAAACUAAUUAAAGGAGUAAUCCGCUUUGAGAUGGACCCGCGGCGCAUUAGCUAGUUGGUGAGGUAAAGGCUCACCAAGGCGACGAUGCGUAGCCGACCUGAGAGGGUGAUCGGCCACAUUGGAACUGAGACACGGUCCAGACUCCUACGGGAGGCAGCAGUGGGGAAUAUUGCACAAUGGGCGAAAGCCUGAUGCAGCAACGCCGCGUGAGUGAUGAAGGCCUUCGGGUUGUAAAGCUCUGUCUUUGGGGACGAUAAUGACGGUACCCAAGGAGGAAGCCACGGCUAACUACGUGCCAGCAGCCGCGGUAAUACGUAGGUGGCAAGCGUUGUCCGGAUUUACUGGGCGUAAAGGAUGCGUAGGCGGAUAUUUAAGUGAGAUGUGAAAUUCCCGGGCUUAACUUGGGAGCUGCAUUUCAAACUGGAUAUCUAGAGUGUGGGAGAGGAGAAUGGAAUUCCUAGUGUAGCGGUGAAAUGCGUAGAGAUUAGGAAGAACACCAGUGGCGAAGGCGAUUCUCUGGACCAUAACUGACGCUGAGGCAUGAAAGCGUGGGUAGCAAACAGGAUUAGAUACCCUGGUAGUCCACGCCGUAAACGAUGAGUACUAGGUGUAGGGGGGUCCAACCUUCUGUGCCGCAGUUAACACAAUAAGUACUCCGCCUGGGAAGUACGAUCGCAAGAUUAAAACUCAAAGGAAUUGACGG